GAUGAACGCUGGCGGCGUGCCUAAUACAUGCAAGUCGAGCGAACAGACGAGAAGCUUGCUCCUCUGACGUUAGCGGCGGACGGGUGAGUAACACGUGGAUAACCUACCUAUAAGACUGGGAUAACUUCGGGAAACCGUAGCUAAUACCGGAUAAUAUUUUGAACCGCAUGGUUCAAUAGUGAAAGACGGUUUUGCUGUCACUUAUAGAUGGAUCCGCGCUGCAUUAGCUAGUUGGUAAGGUAACGGCUUACCAAGGCAACGAUGCGUAGCCGACCUGAGAGGGUGAUCGGCCACACUGGAACUGAGACACGGUCCAGACUCCUACGGGAGGCAGCAGUAGGGAAUCUUCCGCAAUGGGCGAAAGCCUGACGGAGCAACGCCGCGUGAGUGAUGAAGGUCUUCGGAUCGUAAAACUCUGUUAUUAGGGAAGAACAAAUGUGUAAGUAACUAUGCACGUCUUGACGGUACCUAAUCAGAAAGCCACGGCUAACUACGUG
Molecule: ribosomal RNA, 497 nt
Filed under: uncultured bacterium
Lineage: Bacteria
Description: partial 16S ribosomal RNA
Rfam family: Bacterial small subunit ribosomal RNA
Source: RNAcentral